This 462-nucleotide ribosomal RNA is filed under the name uncultured bacterium. Its description in RNAcentral is "partial 16S ribosomal RNA". It matches the Rfam family "Bacterial small subunit ribosomal RNA", at positions 29 to 507 of the family's 1533-position model. The record is from RNAcentral.
AUGAACGCUGACAGAAUGCUUAACACAUGCAAGUCGAUGGGGAAGUGGUGCUUGCACCAUGGCAACCAUGGCGGACGGGUGAGUAACGCGUAAGGGACUUACCUGCAGGACUGGGAUAACAGGGGGAAACUCCUGACAAGACCGGAUAAUGUCAUGGAGCUGCAUGGCUUUAUGAUGAAAGGAGACGCCUGCGGAGAGCCUUGCGUCCUAUUAGCUAGUUGGUGAGGUAAUGGCUCACCAAGGCGAAGAUAGGUAGCCGGCCUGAGAGGGUGGACGGCCACAAGGGGACUGAGAUACGGCCCUUACUCCUACGGGAGGCAGCAGUGGGGAAUAUUGGACAAUGGGGGCAACCCUGAUCCAGCAAUUCUGUGUGCACGAAGAAGGUUUUCGGAUUGUAAAGUGCUUUCAGCAGGGAAGAAGUAAGUGACGGUACCUGCAGAAGAAGCGACGGCUAACUACGUG